UGCUCUGUAAAAAAAAAUCAACUCUUGUGAUAUUCUCUCUAUAUCUAUAUCGGUAAAGAAAAAAUCUCAAUUUCGGCUCUGUCAGUUGCAGUUUUUAUGUGCGAACUCUUUGUUUGUGCUGCUAUAUAGUCUUCCAUUUAGCAGGUUGCAGCCAGUGGUAGCAGUUCUAGAUGGUCUCUUUCAGGGUUUACCGCUCUCAUAACCGGCGGGACACGUUGAAUUGGGCAUGCGGUUGUGGAGGAAUUGGUGGAACUGGGUGCCACAGUGUAUACUUGUUCAUGUAAUGAAGCGGAGCUCAACAAGCGCUUGCAAGAGUGGGCCGCUAAAGGCCUUCAAGUGAAAGGUUCUGUUUGCGAUGCAUCUUCUAGGGAAAACAGAGUUCAGCUCAUGGAGAAUGUCUCCUCGGCUUUCGACAGAAAGCUGAACAUUCUUGUGUGUUAUAUAACCUAUUCUCUUAUUAAUCCCUCCCUUGAUGAAAUGCUUAACAAAUGGUCUCUAUAUUCAAAUUAAUCAUGUAAUUGUAGUGCUUUAAAGCUGAAUAUAAUGGAACAAGAGCUGUAACUUGAUUGUAUUGUACAGCUGGCACAAGAGUUAGUGAAACAUCUUUUGUUCUCUACUUUUGGACUAUCGUUGGGAGCCAUUUUUGGCUGCAUCCUAAAGCAUACAUCUAACGAUGCAAUGGAUCAUGUACAUACUAAAGAUGACUACUCUUUCUGUUCUCCU
This is a long non-coding RNA of Capsicum annuum, 723 nucleotides long. RefSeq lists it as uncharacterized. NCBI's taxonomy places the organism in Eukaryota, Viridiplantae, Streptophyta, Magnoliopsida, Solanales, Solanaceae. The transcript is spliced from 4 exons. The record is from RefSeq and is a predicted model, not a curated record.